Molecule: ribosomal RNA, 396 nt
Filed under: uncultured bacterium
Lineage: Bacteria
Description: bacterial SSU rRNA
Rfam family: Bacterial small subunit ribosomal RNA
Source: RNAcentral
GCCUUCUGAAAGGAAGAUUAAUACAAGAUGGCAUCAUGAGUCCGCAUGUUCACAUGAUUAAAGGUAUUCCGGUAGACGAUGGGGAUGCGUUCCAUUAGAUAGUAGGCGGGGUAACGGCCCACCUAGUCUUCGAUGGAUAGGGGUUCUGAGAGGAAGGUCCCCCACAUUGGAACUGAGACACGGUCCAAACUCCUACGGGAGGCAGCAGUGAGGAAUAUUGGUCAAUGGGCGAGAGUCUGAACCAGCCAAGUAGCGUGAAGGAUGACUGCCCUAUGGGUUGUAAACUUCUUUUAUAAAGGAAUAAAGUCGGGUAUGGAUACCCGUUUGCAUGUACUUUAUGAAUAAGGAUCGGCUAACUCCGUGCCAGCAGCCGCGGUAAUACGGAGGAUCCGAGCG